This 253-nucleotide unclassified non-coding RNA is filed under the name uncultured Alphaproteobacteria bacterium. Its description in RNAcentral is "contains 16S-23S intergenic spacer region". It matches the Rfam family "Bacterial small subunit ribosomal RNA", at positions 524 to 776 of the family's 1533-position model. The record is from RNAcentral. Lineage: Bacteria; Pseudomonadati; Pseudomonadota; Alphaproteobacteria.
UACGAAGGGGGCUAGCGUUGUUCGGAAUUACUGGGCGUAAAGCGCGCGUAGGCGGAUAGUUAAGUCAGGGGUGAAAUCCCGGGGCCCAACCCUGGAACUGCCUUUGAUACUGGCUAUCUGGAGGACGGAAGAGGCAAGUGGAAUUCCGAGUGUAGAGGUGAAAUUCGUAGAUAUUCGGAGGAACACCAGUGGCGAAGGCGACUUGCUGGUCCGUGUCUGACGCUGAGGCGCGAAAGCGUGGGGAGCAAACAGG